GACGAACGCUGGCGGCGUGCUUAACACAUGCAAGUCGAACGGAAAGGCCCUGCUUUUGUGGGGUGCUCGAUUGGCGAACGGGUGAGUAACACGUGAGUAACCUGCCCUUGACUUUGGGAUAACUUCAGGAAACUGGGGCUAAUACCGGAUAGGAGCUCCUGCUGCAUGGUGGGGGUUGGAAAGUUUCGGCGGUUGGGGAUAGACUCGCGGCUUAUCAGCUUGUUGGUGGGGUAGUGGCUUACCAAGGCUUUGACGGGUAGCCGGCCUGAGAGGGUGACCGGCCACAUUGGGACUGAGAUACGGACCAGAAUGCUACGGGAGGCAGCAGUGGAGAAUAUUGCACAAUGGGCGGAAGCCUGAUGCAGAAACGCCGCGUGCGGGAUGACGGCCUUCGGGUUGUAAACCGCUUUCGCCUGUGACGAAGCGUGAGUGACGGUAAUGGGUAAAGAAGCACCGGCUAACUACGUG
Molecule: ribosomal RNA, 468 nt
Filed under: uncultured bacterium
Lineage: Bacteria
Description: partial 16S ribosomal RNA
Rfam family: Bacterial small subunit ribosomal RNA
Source: RNAcentral